RNAcentral lists this ribosomal RNA (260 nucleotides) under uncultured bacterium. Its description in RNAcentral is "partial 16S ribosomal RNA". It matches the Rfam family "Bacterial small subunit ribosomal RNA", at positions 29 to 314 of the family's 1533-position model. The record is from RNAcentral.
AACGAACGCUGGCGGCAUGCCUAACACAUGCAAGUCGAACGCGUGGCGUUCGGCCACGAGUGGCGCACGGGUGAGUAACGCGUGGGAACCUGCCCAUCGGUACGGAACAACCGCGGGAAACUGCGGCUGAUACCGUAUAUACCCUACGGGGAGAGAUUUAUCGCCGAUGGAGGGGCCCGCGUCGGAUUAGGUAGUUGGUGGGGUAACGGCCUACCAAGCCUGCGAUCCGUAGCUGGUCUGAGAGGAUGAUCAGCCACACU